UCUGUUUGGGGAGCUAACACAUGCAGUCGACGGUAACAGGAAGCAGCUUGCUGCUUUGCUGACGAGUGGCGGACGGGUGAGUAAUGUCUGGGAAACUGCCUGAUGGAGGGGGAUAACUACUGGAAACGGUAGCUAAUACCGCAUAACGUCGCAAGACCAAAGAGGGGGACCUUCGGGCCUCUUGCCAUCAGAUGUGCCCAGAUGGGAUUAGCUAGUAGGUGGGGUAACGGCUCACCUAGGCGACGAUCCCUAGCUGGUCUGAGAGGAUGACCAGCCACACUGGAACUGAGACACGGUCCAGACUCCUACGGGAGGCAGCAGUGGGGAAUAUUGCACAAUGGGCGCAAGCCUGAUGCAGCCAUGCCGCGUGUAUGAAGAAGGCCUUCGGGUUGUAAAGUACUUUCAGCGGGGAGGAAGGCGAUGCGGUUAAUAACCGCGUCGAUUGACGUUACCCGCAGAAGAAGCACCGGCUAACUCCGUGCCAGCAGCCGCGGUAAUACGGAGGGUGCAAGCGUUAAUCGGAAUUACUGGGCGUAAAGCGCACGCAGGC
Molecule: ribosomal RNA, 550 nt
Filed under: Kosakonia cowanii
Lineage: Bacteria; Pseudomonadati; Pseudomonadota; Gammaproteobacteria; Enterobacterales; Enterobacteriaceae
Description: bacterial SSU rRNA
Rfam family: Bacterial small subunit ribosomal RNA
Source: RNAcentral